This 497-nucleotide ribosomal RNA is filed under the name uncultured bacterium. RNAcentral's name for it is "partial 16S ribosomal RNA". It matches the Rfam family "Bacterial small subunit ribosomal RNA", at positions 28 to 507 of the family's 1533-position model. The record is from RNAcentral.
GAUGAACGCUGGCGGCGUGCCUAAUACAUGCGAGUCGAGCGAACAGACGAGGAGCUUGCUCCUCUGACGUUAGCGGCGGACGGGUGAGUAACACGUGGAUAACCUACCUAUAAGACUGGGAUAACUUCGGGAAACCGGAGCUAAUACCGGAUAAUAUAUUGAACCGCAUGGUUCAAUAGUGAAAGACGGUUUUGCUGUCACUUAUAGAUGGAUCCGCGCCGCAUUAGCUAGUUGGUAAGGUAACGGCUUACCAAGGCAACGAUGCGUAGCCGACCUGAGAGGGUGAUCGGCCACACUGGAACUGAGACACGGUCCAGACUCCUACGGGAGGCAGCAGUAGGGAAUCUUCCGCAAUGGGCGAAAGCCUGACGGAGCAACGCCGCGUGAGUGAUGAAGGUCCUCGGAUCGUAAAACUCUGUUAUUAGGGAAGAACAAAUGUGUAAGUAACUAUGCACGUCUUGACGGUACCUAAUCAGAAAGCCACGGCUAACUACGUG